ACCCGGCUCUCGUAAUGUCAAACCCGAUGCCCUCUCACGCCAAUUCGCCGCCUCCGAAGACGCUGCCCAGGACGCCCCCAUUCUUCCUCACACGUGUGUUGUCGGGGUCCUAACCUGGGAGAUUGAGUCAGCUAUUCGAGAGGCCCAACGGACGGAACCGGACCCUGGUACGGGUCCCCCGGGCCUACUUUUUGUUCCCUGUACUGUCAGAUCACGAGUUCUGCAUUGGGCACAUACUGCCAAGUUCACCUGCCACCCUGGGGUCCACCGCACCAUUACCUUCCUCCAACGCUUCGCCUGGUGGCCGUCUUUAGCUAAGGACGUCCGCGAAUACAUCCCCGCCUGUCCUACAUGCGCUCAAAAUAAAAACGUCAAUCAGCCAUCCUCCGGCCUUCUCCAACCUCUACCGACCCCUGGUCGUCCGUGGUCUCACAUUGCAGUUGACUUCAUCAAGGGCCUCCCUACCUCAUCAGACAUCGUCUCUGAUAGAGGGCCGCAGUUCACAUCACGGGUCUGGAAAGAAUUCUGCAACGCCCUCGGAGCACAGCAGCAUCUACGGAGGUGUCGACGUGCCUGGAGAGCCACCCGGGCCGCCCUUCUUCGCUCAGCUGAUCGCAAUAAGCGCCUGGCGGACCGUCAUCGGACCCCCGCACCUGCCUACGCCCCGGGACAAAAGGUUUGGCUGUCUACCAGAUUCGUUCCUCUCCGGGCUGAGUCAAAGAAACUGUCCCCCACCUUCAUUGGUCCGUUUGUUAUAGACUCUCUGGUUAACCCGGUUUCUGUCCGUCUCAAAUUGCCCCGAAACAUGCGGAUCCAUAACGUGUUUCAUGUGUCUCAAGUGAAACCCUGCCUGUCCAGUCCUUUGUUUCACUUCAACUAAACUUUCUGUUUUAUUUGGUGCUAAUGACCCCGAUUGGUUAUACAUAAUGUACAUAAUUUUGCAUGUUUAGAUUUUUAAUGGUAAAAUGUUGUUUUCAGAUCUUUCUCCUCAACGUGCAGUUUUCUGAAAUCUGAUAUUAAGAGUGCCAAACGGCUAUAACAGUGAUGCACGCAUAAAAAAGAGCUGAUGUGGAAAGUUGAAGCAGUCAUUGCAUCAAGAACAGCACAAGUUUUUCAGUGAUAAUAUGCUGACAUGUUAAAAAAAUACCAUAAUAAACAUAUUAAAAAUAUUGAUGUUUUAUGUGGCCAAACAUGAGUCUACCAGCAGGCUGCUGGAUUAAACAAUAAACACAUUUUAGUUUUCAAACAUUUUUAUUUUCUUUGCAACAACUUAAUUUUCAUUAUGCAAUAACUGCAUUGAUCUGAGUGUUUCUUUACUGAGCAUUAAA
Long non-coding RNA from Oreochromis aureus, 1328 nucleotides. Lineage: Eukaryota; Metazoa; Chordata; Actinopteri; Cichliformes; Cichlidae. The record is from Ensembl.